GAGGGAAAGGAGGAAUAGGGAAAAUUGGUGCUGGUGGUGGAGGUGGUGGUGGUGAUGGAGUUAAACCUGGUAUUACUAUUGGUGGUAAAGGAGGAAAAAAGGAUGGCGGUGGGCUGGGUGGAGGCUGGAAUGGGUUAGGAAUGAGGGGUGCACGUGGGCUUGGAGGAGGCUGGAAUGGGUUAGGGAUGAGGGGUGGUGGGCUUGGUGGCUGGAAUGGGUUGGGAAUGAGUGGUGGGCUUGGUGGUUGAAAAGGGUUGGGAAUAAGAGGAGGUGGUUGAAAGGGGUUUGGAAUGAGGGGAGGAGGCUGAAAUGGAUUAGGAAUCAAUGGUGGUGGAAAAAAUGGAUUUGGAGGAAAAAAGAAAUCUUCAGCUAAAUCUUUAUUUGAUUGAGGUUUGUCUGAACUUUUAGUUGGAUUGGAUUUGAACACUGUAGUUUGAACUUUUGGUGGAAUUUUUGAAAAGGGUUUCACAGAAACAUGUGGAUUGGAGUUUUGAACACUCUGUUUUUUGUUACAAAAGUUUGGCUUUUCUACAGGCUUGAAUGAGAACAACCCUGCUGAGAAUAUGUGUUCUCUUUGAUUUCUUGUCUUAAGACUCAUUGAAGAAGAGGUUGAAACUGAUGCCACCGCACAUUGAAGCUCACUGCUAUUUAUUAACUUGAAAGUACACCCUUUGAUUCUCCUCACAUGUUUCCUCACUUUGAAAGGUAGCUGCACUUUGAAUUCCCCAUUUUCAUCUGUCUUCACUUCUUUCUUGAAUCUUGGUACUGAAUUCCCAUCUUUACAUUCU
Molecule: long non-coding RNA, 788 nt
Filed under: Vigna radiata
Lineage: Eukaryota; Viridiplantae; Streptophyta; Magnoliopsida; Fabales; Fabaceae
Description: long non-coding RNA (VRAD_LNC013300)
Source: RNAcentral